AGUGUCUCGGGCUCAGGCUGAAAGAGACUGGCAGCUUUCACUUCCUGUCUUUUGAAAGUCUCUUGAACUUCGGACCUGGGGGAAGCCAGCUGCCGAGUGAGAAGUCUGACUAUCCGGAGAUGGCGGUGAGUAUAGAGAAUUUCUGCUAGGUCUCCUGUGUUUCAGCCAUCCCAGCCCAGGCACCACGACACAUUAUCAAAGGACUAUCUUGGACCUUCUCAUCCCAGCAAACAUCCAAUGGAGAAGAAUGAAGACUCCAGGCAUAUGAUCCCACUCUAGCCAUCCCAGGAGCCCCCAGCUAUCCAAACAACUACAGCUGUGGCCAAAAACAUCGUGUAUCAGGGACAAACUCUCUGCUUAUGGCUGCUCUAAUCCUUGACCUACAGAAUCAUGAAAUUUGUGGAUACGGUCAUGAUCUUGAUUUUGGCGAUGGUUUCACAGUAACUCAUGCUUUCAAAAUAUCAGGAAGCAAAUGAGAAAAGGAAAAAAAGACAUUCAUUGUAUAUGGUAAGCCAAGUAAUGAACUAGCUAGAUAGUACCUCAGACACUGGAGGAAAAUGGCAUUGUUAACAUAAUUGUUUUUCCAGUUAAUAAUUAAUAUUGUAUAAUCUGACCUUAAUCUAUAGGCUUCUUUUUCAUUAUAAUCUCACCAGAAGUCCUUAAUUCUAUUCAAAUGUUACCUAUUUUAGAUGAUCUAUUGCCUCAUCCAAUGGCUCCCAGUUUCUCAAAUACACUAAAAUAAAUAGCUCUAGUUGGUGAUUUACUUAGAAAGAAAUGUUACCCCGUGGUCACUUAAAUCUAACAUCCUCAAAAAUUCUUUUUUUAUAUAAAGCUGUGAAGUAAUCCUGCCAAAGGACACUUUGGGCUCCGCAGUGAGUAUAUUUUUUCCUUAAAAAUUGCCAAUUUCUUGAUCUAUAUUCUAUGAUAAAAGUUUUAAUAUUUUGCUAAGUUAAUUAGUAUUGCCUAUUGACCAACAUGUUCUAUUUAGUGUACUGCUUCACCAAGUGCCAACAUAUACGUCUCCAGUGACUGCUGAUGGCUGAGUCUCCUUAUGUUAGUAAAUUUCUAAACAUUUUUCUUAGUACAUGGAGUAACGUGUUAUGUUGAUCAAUGUUUGAUGACACUUAAAUGUAACUACAAUGCAGUAAUUCGAAGGUAAGAAAAAGUUGCCAUGACUCUCAUUUCUUUGAAAUUGUGUACAAUGAAAGGCUUCUCAGCAUGAUACCCCAACUAAAAUUUAGGCGUAUGACAGCACUUAUAAGUAAAUCCAUUUUAUUUGAGUAAAUAUUGAGUUUCAUUUACCUUUUAGCAAAUUCCGAAGUAGCAUCUCCAUAAAUUUAAACUGAUUUUACUUAUUGAGUCCUAUUACUAACUUUAAAAGACAAUCUACUUUGGAUCAUUUUGAGCAUCACAUAUUGCUUACGUAAAAUAAGUUUAAAUCUGAGUCAAUAAUGAUACUAAGCAAACAAAUAAAAUCAUUGGUCACUGUAUUAAGUCUGUUUUCAUGCUGUUGAUAAAGACAUACCCAUGACUGGGCAAUUUACAAAAGAAAUGUUUAAUUGGACUUACAGUUCCACGUGUGGCUGGGGAAGCCUCACAAUCAUGGUGGAAGGCGAAAGGCACAUCUCACAUGAUAGCAGACAAGGGAAAAGAGCUUGUGCUGGGGAACUCCUUUUUUAAAACCAUCAGAUCUCGUGACACUUAUCUACUAUCAGCACGGGAAAGACCUUCCCCCAUGAUUCAAUUACCUUCCACCAGUCCCUCACAUAAUAUAUGAGAAUUCAAGAUGAGAUUUGGGUGGGGACACAGCAAAACCAUAUCAGUCACCUUUGGAGAAUACUAGAGAAUUAACUAACUAUUCUGAAAAUCAGUAAUUAAAGGGAAAGAAGCAAACAUUUUUUCUGUCUUUCCAUAAAAAAUUGUACUUUGAACAACCAAAUGGGUGAUAAUGAAAGAAAGUUCCUCUUUAUAAAAGUAACUGAAGAGGCCAGGCGUGGUGGCUCAUGCCUGUAAUCCCAGCACUUUGGGAGGCCGUGAUGGGCAGAUCACUUGAGCCCAGAAGUUUGAGACCAGCCUGUGCAACAUAUCUAGACCCUGUCUUUAAAAAGAAAGAAAAAAUUUAAAACAGUAACUGAGCAUCAGCUAUUGUGGGCACACUGCCUAUGGGUAGCCCUGCUCCACAAGGAGCAGUUAAAAAAAAAAGUAACUCAGUAGAUAAAUGAGAAAGGAAUGAUAAUUACAAUAACAAGAUGUGGCAAUCCUGAUUUAAUUAAUGAAUCUAAGCAAAAAGCAAUGGCUUUGAAUAGAACACAGAAAAGAAACAACUAAAUAUUAUGUGCCUCCUGGUUGAAAUAUACACAAUUAUCUAUGAUUUCAUCUUUUGAACCUGAAUCUGAUCAAGCCUCUAGAUCUAUUCAUCAAUUUAUAUAAAACACAAGAGACACAGAAAAGACAAAGGAAUGUACUAAACUACAGCAUGAGGUACAAUCAAGCAAAAUUCAUACCAUGGAAACUAUAGAACAAACAAUUUAGUUUCUUGCAGAAAUAAAUUGCAAGGGAAAAAUAAAGACAUGGUUAAAGACACUUCGGAGAUAUGCUUACCAGAUGCAAUUUAUGGAUGUGUAUUAGCGUUCUCCAGAGAAACAGAACCAAGAGGAUAUAUAUGGGUAUAUAAGAGGGAAUUUGUUAUGGAAGCCAGCUCACAUGAUUAUGGAGGGUGAGAAGUUCCACAACAUCCCAUCUGCAAGCUGUACAACCAAGGAAGCCAAUGUUGUAAUUCAGUCUGAGUCCGAAGGCCAGAGAAACUGGGGCCAUUGGUGUAAUCUUGGAGUCUGAAAGCUCAAUGAAGUCAGGAGAAGAUGGAUGUCCCAGCCCCAAGAGGGAGAGAAUUUGCCCUUCUCUUUUUAUUCUAUUGGAACCCUUAACAGAUUGGAUGAUGCCUGUCCAUAUUGAUGAGGGUGGUUCUUCUGUACUCAGUUUACUGCUUCAAAUGCUAGUCUCUUCUGAAAAUUCUCUCACAGACCCACCCAGAAAUGUUUUACCAGCUAUCUGGCUAUCCCUUAACCCAGUCAAGUUGACACAUAAAAUUAACCAUCACAGAAUGUUAUUUGGAUUCAGAUUUUAAUCAACAAAGUGUGAAAAAGUAAUAAGAUUAUUGGAGAAAUUUGUGUGUUGGCUGGAUAUUUAAUGAUGACAAGAAAGUUUUCAUUUUUGCAGGUGUGCUAAUGGUAUUGUGGGUUUUGUUGAGUCUUUAUCUUCUAAAAAUACUUCCUAAAAUAGUUACAGAAGAAAAGAUUUAUAAUCUGAAAUUUGCUUCCAAAUUAUCCAAGAGUCUGGUGUUGGGGUUGGGGACUGAGUGGAAGUACAGACAAGGCAAUCUUGGCCAUGGGUUCAUGCCCAAAUUUCUUAUUCUUAUUAUAAGGACACCAAUCAGAUUAGAUCAUGGACCACUCUAAUGGCCUGAUUUUAACUUAAUCACCUUUAAAGUUCUCUUUCCAAAUACAGUCACAUUCUGAGGUACUGGGGGUUAAGGCAUUAGUGGGAAUUUGCAGGGACAUAAUUCAGUUCAUAACAAGUCCAUUCAGAAUCUUGCUCUGUUUAUUUGUGAUAUCAAUGCCAUAUAAACUGCUUAAAAUGGUUACCUUCAAUAUUGGCUCAAAAGCUAAACUUUGUAAGCUCCUGGCAUUAAUCACCAUGCUAUACUUUGCAAAGUCCACAGCCAAACAAUCCUAACCACUCCUUCACUUUCAGACUAAUUCUAUAGUUCUAUUUUCUCCAAUAUGGUAGUCACACAUGAACUAGUAAACACUUGAAAUGUGGCUGAUCCAAACUGAGAUGUGUUGUAAGUAUACAUUACACUGGAUUUCAAAGACUUAGCAAGAAAAAAAGAAAGAUAUCUCGUUACUAGUUUUUGUAUUGAUUACAUGUUGAAAUGAUAGUUUGGAUAUACUAAAUUAGAUUAUUAAAGUUAAUUUCAGCUGUUCCUUCUUCCUUAAAAAAUAUGGCUAGUAAAUAACUUUAAAAUUAUGUGCUCACUUUAUAUUUCUAUUGGAUGGCACUUUUCAAAAGUACAGGUACCUGUCAUUUGACCUAAGAUUCGCUUCAAAGACUUUCUUUGACUUCCAAUUUAUAACUCUCCCCAAUAAUCCCUUUCCUUUUUGCACCACACAUUUAAUAACCUAGGUGCAGAAUUCUAGCGCUAUAUGCAGUCCUUAAUUCACAUUUCAAACCUGAAGAACAUGUGCCUACUUCUCAGGCAGACAACAUGUAAUGCUAACUGAAAAAAUGUCACUGAAAUUUGUUAUAUUUAUUGAAAUCCUAAGUGAUGGAUAGUUCUGUUGCCUUUUACCAUUUCCAAGGAAAAAGAGAAGCUAUAAUAAUAGCAAUUGACAAAGAUACUCUCAUUUUUCCUUUACCAGUGGUACUAGAUAUUCUCAGGCUGCCGCAGUGGCUUACACCUGUAAUCUCAACACUUUGGGAGGCCAGUGUGGGAGGAUCACUUGAGUCCAGGAGUUCAAGACCCCAUCUCUACAAAAAAAUAAAAAAAAUUGGCUGGGUAUGGUGGUACACGCCUGUAAUCGCAGCUACUUUGGAGGCUGAGGUGGGAGGAUCACUUGAGUCUCAGAGGUCGAGGCAGCAGUGAGCCAUGAUUGCACCACUGCACUCCGGCCUGGGCGAUAGAGUGAGACUCUAUUUCAAAAAUAAAUAAAUAAAUAAUGUAAAAAAGAUACUCUCAUAUUUCAUUUAUAAACAACACUAGAAAAAGUCUUAUGCCCCAAUUUUACCAAAACACUAGAACUGGGCUUAAUACAGAUUUCUAGAAAUUUUUGCAAUACUUACAUAUUUGCAGCUGCUAAAUUUUGUGACAAAGAUAAAUACUUCAUUUUGCUUAAAAGUUGAUGCUGAGAGGAGGAAUUGUAGUUAGGAGUAUUUCAGCAUCAGUAAUUUUUUACUUUUUCAGGAACAUAAAAUAUGAUUAACAUCCACUGCUUGUAUUUCUUGGCAGGCUCAGUUGUAUCUUACCCAGAUUUUCAUUUUAGUACAAUUAAUCCAUACAGGUUUAAUUAGGUAGAUUUAAAUGCUUAUCAAAUGAGUAUACUUAUUUGGCAGCACAACAGUGGCUCGAAACCUACAGGAUUAAAAACUUUGCAUUUUGGCUUAUCAUCUAUAUCCCUGAAUGAUAGUUUCCACAAUC
RNAcentral lists this long non-coding RNA (5194 nucleotides) under Homo sapiens (human). RNAcentral describes it as "HSALNT0336420". Lineage: Eukaryota; Metazoa; Chordata; Mammalia; Primates; Hominidae. The record is from RNAcentral.